GCGGAAGUAGUUCAGUGGUAGAACGCUACCUUGCCAUGGUGGAGGUCGCGGGUUCGAAUCCCGUCUUCCGCU
Molecule: transfer RNA, 72 nt
Filed under: Fructilactobacillus hinvesii
Lineage: Bacteria; Bacillati; Bacillota; Bacilli; Lactobacillales; Lactobacillaceae
Description: Fructilactobacillus sp. KI11_C11 tRNA-Gly
Rfam family: tRNA
About the family: Transfer RNA (tRNA) molecules are approximately 80 nucleotides in length. Their secondary structure includes four short double-helical elements and three loops (D, anti-codon, and T loops). Further hydrogen bonds mediate the characteristic L-shaped molecular structure. tRNAs have two regions of fundamental functional importance: the anti-codon, which is responsible for specific mRNA codon recognition, and the 3' end, to which the tRNAs corresponding amino acid is attached (by aminoacyl-tRNA synthetases). tRNAs cope with the degeneracy of the genetic code in two manners: having more than one tRNA (with a specific anti-codon) for a particular amino acid; and 'wobble' base-pairing, i.e. permitting non-standard base-pairing at the 3rd anti-codon position.
Source: RNAcentral